Molecule: long non-coding RNA, 2444 nt
Organism: Paramisgurnus dabryanus
Lineage: Eukaryota; Metazoa; Chordata; Actinopteri; Cypriniformes; Cobitidae
Source: RefSeq, a predicted model, not a curated record
UUACAGCGAAUUUCUAACAGUAUUGUACUGUAUUUUCAAAAAACAGUGUUAGACUGUAUAUUUACAAAAUAUUUACAGAAUGUCUGUAAAUGUACAGAAUUGUCCUGUUUUCAGCAUGCAAAAUUCAUAAUACAGAAUAAUACUGUAAAAGCAUUGCAUUGUGGGAUUGAUUUCCUUCGCGCUCAAUAUUUGAAUGUAAGCAGAGCUAGUGCUUCGGAAGUUCGGACGCCCUUUAUUUGUUAGGAUUGGUUAUUCAUAUAAACAACGACGAUAUGAAGACAACGCGUUCAACUUUUAAUCUAUAGCUGCCUGUGAUGUGAAAAUGUACACGGAACAAUUAAAAGUUGCACGACGACGCGGCAGAAAUGAGAGGAUUAUGCAGCAAGAAGAUGGGGAGAAUACAAUGUGUCUGUGAUGAAGAUAAACAAAGAUUGACUGAAUGUGCAUCAUUGACACGGUCCGUCUCUAAGCAACCAGCGCUGGAUGUUGAGCAUGGACGGUCAGGUUGUGUGUGAAGGAGAGCAGCGCAACUUUGUCUCUGGUCUUGCAACGCUGAUUGCCUCAUUCUACAAUUUUAACCUCCAGGAUCUGGAAGCGGUGGCAUGCACCCUUGGGUUUGUUCAGAGAUGAUUUCUCUACAUCAACCUGGAACGUGGAUCAAAGAUGAAGAAAGGGAAAAAGAACACUACAGUGAAUCCACAGGUUUCCACUCUUCUUAGAAAACUUACAGACUUUAAAUGCAAUUUUGUUUAGACACUUCCACUAUCCAGUGUAGUUGAAUUAAAAGGAAAUAAAGUUUCCUACAUUGUUAAUGAUGUGCUGUUAAUUGAAAUACAAACGUACAGCUGGCAUUUCAUCCAAUAUGCUUAUGUUAAAGAAUUAAUCCACUUUUAAAAUGAUGCAAAAAAAGAAAGUCAGGAGGGAAAAUACAGUAAAGGAUUAGUCCACUUUCUUAAAGGAGUAGUCCACUUUAAAUAUGGGGUCCAUUGAUUUUCAUAGUAGGAAAAAAGUAAGUCAAUGGGCCCCAUCUUUAAAGUGGACUACUCCUUUAAUAAAAAAUCCUGAUAAUUUACUUACCCCUAAGUCAUCCAAAACGUUUAUGUGUUUCUUUGUUCAGUCAAAAAGAAAUUAAUUUUUUUGUUUGUUUGUUUUUUUGAGUAACACAUUCCAGAAUGUUUCUCCAUAUAGUGGACUUUAAUGGACCUCAACAGUUUACAGUUUAAAUGCAGUUUAAAAGGGUGCAUACAGCUUCAAAGGGCUCUAAACUAGGGCUGCAUGAUAAAUAGCAUGUGAUUGUCAUUGCGCAUCUUGUCAGUAAAGCCGGUUCCUUGAUUAGUAAAUCGCUAUCACCUGCUUUUAGAUGGAGCAGCAUGUACUACACAAAGCCAUAGAUCACUGACAAUCAGGGCAAAAUUUGCAUUAAUAAUAUGUAUGCGAUAUGGCCCUGCUUGUCAGUGAACUACGUCUCUGUCUAGUAAAAGCUUCUAUCGCAUGUGAUUUAUCGUGCAGCCCUACUCUAAACUAUCCAAACUGAUGCAUAAGGGUCUUAACCAGCUAAAAUCAUAACUUUCGGCAAAAAAAAAAAAAAAUGCACUUUUAAUCCACAACUUGCACUAGCCGUGUGAUGCGCCAACGUGACGUCAUGUAAUGCAUAGGCAUGUCGAAAGGUCACGCAUCAUAAAUGUGAAACACACACUUGCAGACCAUUUUAAACAACAAACUGACAUAAAGACAUUAAUUGUUAUCAUUCCACAUACAAUAACGUCUGAACGUUCCUCUUUCUCCACGCUUGUAAACACUGGGGCGGUCGUUUUGCAUGCAUCACGUGUGACUUUUCAACAUGCUUAAGCAUUACGUUAGAUUGCGCUGGUGGGACACAAGGCUAGUGCAAGAUGGGAAGUUAUGGAUUUAUAGUACUUAUUUUUUAUUUUUCUCAAUAAAAAUUAUGAUGGUUUGCUAGAUAAGAUCCUUAUGCCUUGGUUGGGAUCGUUUAGAGCCCUUUAAAGCUGCAUCAAAACAGCUAAUUUUAAACUGCAUUUAAUCUGUAAACUAUUGAGGUCCAAUAAAGUCUUUAAAAUUGAGAAAAAGCAUGGAGUGUUUUCCCUAAAAAACUUAAUUUCUUAUUGACUGAACAAAAAAAGACAUCAACAUUUUGGAUGACACGUGGGUGAGUAAAUUAUCCGGAUUUUUUAUUAAGAAAGUAGAGUAAUCCUUUAAUGUAUUUUCCCUCCUGACUUUCUUUUUUUGCAUCAUUUAAAAUAUUUUGAAACAUUUCCAUUCUUUGAAAGUUAACAAGACCACUUGAUUGUUAAUGUUCUGAUAAUUCAUAACUGUUCUGUCAACUGUUUAUUAAUUGUAAUGCAUACAGCUGACAUUUCAGCAAACAUGUUUAUGUAAAUUUUAUGGCCUUUGCUUUUAAAAAAUAAAGUUUUAUAUUCUAAGAA